Molecule: ribosomal RNA, 497 nt
Filed under: uncultured bacterium
Lineage: Bacteria
Description: partial 16S ribosomal RNA
Rfam family: Bacterial small subunit ribosomal RNA
Source: RNAcentral
GACGAACGCUGGCGGCGUGCCUAAUACAUGCAAGUAGAACGCUGAAGAGAGGAGCUUGCUCUUCUUGGAUGAGUUGCGAACGGGUGAGUAACGCGUAGGUAACCUGCCUUGUAGCGGGGGAUAACUAUUGGAAACGAUAGCUAAUACCGCAUAACAAUGGAUGACACAUGUCAUUUAUUUGAAAGGGGCAAUUGUUCCACUACAAGAUGGACCUGCGUUGUAUUAGCUAGUAGGUGAGGUAAUGGCUCACCUAGGCGACGAUACAUAGCCGACCUGAGAGGGGGGUCGGCCACACUGGGACUGGGACAACGCCCAAGACCCCUACGGAGGCAGCAGGAGGGAAUCUUCGGGAAUGGGGGCAACCCUGAACGGAGAACGCCGCGUGAGUGAAGAAGGUUUUCGGAUCGUAAAGCUCUGUUGUAAGGCAAGAACGGAAGUGGGAGUGGAAAGUUCACGCUGUGACGGUAGCUAACCAGAAAGGGACGGCUAACUACGUG